UUGUUAAGAAUAACUCUAACAUAUCUCAAGCAGUGGUUGAAGUGUGCGCUCAUGACUUGGUAUUUAAAUCUCCCUUCUGCAGUAUAAAUAAAUGCAACUAAAAGUUUUUAUAGACACUUAGACAAUGAUUAUUUUGAGUAAGAUGUCCUUUGUGCAGACAUUCUGAUUUAGCGAAACAAAUAAGUAAAUGAAGGGAAAUUUUUUUAAAUUCAAAGAUGAUUUUGAAAGAGUGCGACGGACUUCCUUGAUGCAAAAACCAGGAGUACGAGUCUUAUUUACAAGAGUUUGGACUACUCCCGUAUUAAAAGUGUCAAACACUGACUUGGACUUUAGCAUUUUACAAAAUACAGCCAAAAUAUCAGUGCUGACAAUUUAAAGGGAUUCAGUAGUGAACACCUAUUCAUGCCCUACCAUUAUCUCCGCAAGAUAACACCCGAAUAAUGGUAAAAAGUGUAAAACAUGCCUUCCUGUCAACUCACUCUGGAUCAGCAGACGAUUAAUCCGAGAUAGCCGAUGUAUCACGAUUGCCUGUCAACUAUGAUAUUUUUUUAGAGAGUACAGCCCUACAUGAAGCGAUCAUUUAGUGUAUUGUAACCUUUAAUUACUGGAUAAACUUCCUGCUUACAAAAGCAAACAUACACAGUGACUGUAAUGCACACGUAUUCCGGGCCAGCGAAUGCCGUAUCCGGAAACCCAGAUACAGGGUCCCUUAGAUCCACAAAUAGGGAGGAACAACAAGUCGUUAGGACUGCUGAUAUAAAAGCGUAUGGGAAACACAAGAACAAGUUCAAGAAAGCAAAAAAGAAAUAUAUCAAGUUUCUGAACACAGGGACCCUUAACAAAAUUUUGCCAAUGAACUCGCAGUCUAAACAAGAGAUGUACAAGGAACUUAAACAAUCAAAUUACCGAAUUCAUGUAAUACCAGCCCAGAUGUUUGAAGAUGCAAGGCGUUAUGGGGAAAUCAACAUAUUUCAACUGGAGUAUACAUAUUUGCAUCCGGCUAGCAGCAGUUACGUUUUUGCAAUCCCUGUUUAUCGAAACGGUCACAUCAACUUAAUUGAUAGGAAUUGCAAUGAUAAUUACAAUUAGCCACCAUACAUAAAACAAGAACAUUUCUCUUAAGUGUUUAUUUAGUAAUUUGUUCAGUAUUAAAGGAUCAGGUUCAGAAAGUAAUAUUACUAACACUGGUCCAUCACUUAUGACAUCGUUCAUUACGUCCAACUGAAGUACUUCGAGAAAAGGAAUGACGUCUAUUGCAAAAUUCGCAUACGUAUUCUAGGAUAACUACAUUCUGUGCGAGCUCACUAUAAAUCAAAUCGAUUGUGCUCCUGAAUAUGCAUGCGAAUCAUAUUGUUCUUUUAAUUAAGUUUGUGUUUUUCUGGUGUAAGAACCCAAUUCGAAUGAUUACAUACAAGUGUUAUUAUAUCGCGUUUCACCAUGUCCUUGUGCACACGGAUAAAACAAUACCAACCACACGUUCUAAGCGUACGAUCUUCAUAAAUGAAUGAUUUUAUCGUAAGCUUGCAAAGAAUGUAGUCAACUGAUCACUUGUAAAAUUUAACAUCAAAACCUUUACUCAUCAAUGAGAUAUUCAAGUUUAACAAGUGUUCCGUUAGAAUAGUCUCCAAGUGUACAUGUUUCCUAUGCGUGCUCACAUAAAUUACACUUUUUCGUUAUCUGAGCUUUGCAUCAGCUUGUGGUCACGUCGGCAUUCUCUGCUGUUACCAAGGAGCUGCUUACCGCCAUUGAAGUCUAAGGGCAACUCUAGCAGCAACCGCCCGAACUUGCUGUUAUUAUUGUCCCGAAACAAACAGCGAUUGAACAUAGUGGACAUGUAUAGGUAUAAACAAACUUAUUCAACAUUAAGUGAGAGUGAAACGCUUGAACUGUUAAUGGCCUAUAUUGUAUCUUGAUACGAAGGAAGGGGAUUCUUUUCAAGACAAAAUUGCGACUACCGAUGGGACCCGGCUGUGUAAUUUCGAUCCUGAAACGAAAGCUCAGUCAGCUCUUUGGAAGUCACCAUUGGUUCAACAGUCCGGAAAGGCCCGCAUGCAAGGAAACUGGAAAAAGAUGUUCAUCAUUUACAGAGAUCGUCAAAGAACGAUCAUUCAGCAUUGAUUCAAAGAAUUAGAUAGUAUGGCAUUUUUGUCAGAUAACACAAUUUGCGAUAAGACGAAAUAAAACACAAUUUGACAAAACUGGUUCAGAAAACCAUAAAUUUAAUUGGGUAUACAGACAUUAAUAGUUUGUUGCGCUUGGUGGUCACUAUGUUUUUAAAUACGAAAACUGCUACUUCAAUAUGUGUUGUUUAAAAUAUAAAAUUGAUCUAAUUUCGAUGGCGACUGCAGAAAUAUCUGUUCAUGUUGAUUAUAUUAAUGUCAAUAAUCCGCAGUUGAUGUACAA
Molecule: long non-coding RNA, 2403 nt
Organism: Dreissena polymorpha
Lineage: Eukaryota; Metazoa; Mollusca; Bivalvia; Myida; Dreissenidae
Exons: 3
Source: RefSeq, a predicted model, not a curated record